RNAcentral lists this ribosomal RNA (550 nucleotides) under uncultured bacterium. Its description in RNAcentral is "bacterial SSU rRNA". It matches the Rfam family "Bacterial small subunit ribosomal RNA", at positions 355 to 896 of the family's 1533-position model. The record is from RNAcentral.
UGGGGAAUAUUNGGACAAUGGGCGAAAGCCUGAUCCAGCCAUGCCGCGUGUGUGAAGAAGGUCUUCGGAUUGUAAAGCACCUUAAGUUGGGAGGAAGGGCAGUAAGUUAAUACCUUGCUGUUUUGACGUUACCAACAGAAUAAGCACCGGCUAACUUCGUGCCAGCAGCCGCGGUAAUACGAAGGGUGCAAGCGUUAAUCGGAAUUACUGGGCGUAAAGCGCGCGUAGGUGGUUCAGCAAGUUGGAUGUGAAAUCCCCGGGCUCAACCUGGGAACUGCAUCCAAAACUACUGAGCUAGAGUACGGUAGAGGGUGGUGGAAUUUCCUGUGUAGCGGCGAAAUGCGUAGAUAUAGGAAGGAACACCAGUGGCGAAGGCGACCACCUGGACUGAUACUGACACUGAGGUGCGAAAGCGUGGGGAGCAAACAGGAUUGGAUACCCUGGUAGUCCACGCCGUAAACGAUGUCGACUAGCCGUUGGGAUCCUUGAGAUCUUAGUGGCGCAGCUAACGCGAUAAGUCGACCGCCUGGGGAGUACGGCCGCAAGGUUA